This 296-nucleotide ribosomal RNA is filed under the name Candidatus Midichloria mitochondrii. RNAcentral's name for it is "partial 16S ribosomal RNA". It matches the Rfam family "Bacterial small subunit ribosomal RNA", at positions 514 to 803 of the family's 1533-position model. The record is from RNAcentral. Lineage: Bacteria; Pseudomonadati; Pseudomonadota; Alphaproteobacteria; Rickettsiales; Candidatus Midichloriaceae.
GCCGCGGUAUUACGAAGGGGGCUUAGCGUUUACUCCGGAAUUUAUUGGGCGUAAAGCGUGCGUAGGCUGCUUAGUAAGUCAAAAGUGAAAGCCUUUGGGCUCAACCUAAGAAUUCGCUUUUGAAACUACUAAGCUUGAGUACUGUAGGGGGUAGCGGAACUCCUAGUGUAGGGGUGAAAUUCGUAGAUAUUAGGAGGAACACCGGAGGCGAAAGCGGUUAUCUGGACAGUCACUGACGCUGUUGCACGAAAGCGUGGGGAGCAAACAGGAUUAGAUACCCUGGUAGUCCACGCUGU